Long non-coding RNA from Arvicanthis niloticus (Nile rat), 338 nucleotides. RefSeq lists it as uncharacterized. NCBI's taxonomy places the organism in Eukaryota, Metazoa, Chordata, Mammalia, Rodentia, Muridae. The record is from RefSeq and is a predicted model, not a curated record.
UUCCGAUGCUGGGGGAAAGAUUCCGCUCCGGGAAGUGUCCCGGAUCUUGAAAAGCAUCACCCAAAAGGAUGCCCGAUAUUCUGGGAUGCCCAGAAAGGUCCUGCCCGGGAGACUCAGUCUUCCCACUGGUGACAGCGAUGCAGGCGGAGUGGAAAGGACUAUGGAGAAGUCUCAGACCAGAGGCGCAUCUCAGGACCGAGCAGCUGCGCAGGUCCAGAGGGGCCCUGCACCCUCUUUUAGUGGUGACGCAGCAAAGACAUUUACAGCGAGAACAGGCUGUGUUGCACAAGGUAGUUCUGCCACCAAAGCCCCGCAAAUUAAAGUUAACUUAAAAUGUU